CAACGAUCUUUAUAAAGUUGUUUGAAGCGUCUAUGAUAAACAGAGAGAAAAUUAGAAUGCAAGGAAGUUGACAUGUCAUCACUUCAUUUUUUUGCGCCUGCGCAUAAAUCUGAGAAGCGUGAGUUUGUCAUUAAUUGUUUAUCAAGACAUAGGAUAGGUUGUGUGAAAAUAUUACUGAUGUUUAACGUUAAAAAUGGACCAAAAGAUUAAUGCUAAACAAGGUUUGACAUGUUUGAACGAACGUAAAUAGAUUAUUUACUAGGUUUUUUUUAGCUUUUCGGCGUGAUUUUACAACCUCCCCCACCACGUUUUGUGGGAGCAUAAUGAACGCUAACUACUUGGUGUUAUUUGGACAUAAAUUAUGAACUUUGUCAAAAGAAACCACAUUUGUUCCGGACCUGGGAUUCCUGGCAGUGCCUUCUGAUGGAGAUAAUCAAAGGGAAAAUGAAGAUAACGGUGCCAUUACGAUUGCUCUGUGGGAGCCAGAAACGUACGACUGUGCCCCAAACCGCAUCCUAUUCACUAUGUAGUGCACUACUUUUGGUCAGGGCCCAUAGGAAAUCCCAUAGGGCUCUGGUCAGAAGUAGUGCACUACAUAGGGAAUAAGGUGCCAUUUGGUACACAUUGUAUGAUUUGGAGGGGAUCUGCUGUUUGCUUCGAUGAAAAUGAGCCUUGAUGAGAUACACAGAAAGCUGUUCAAAGAAGACCAGGGUAUGAAAUAUUGGAGCAGAAGGAGUAUAUUUUUAAGAGCUGAAGGGAAAUAUAACACACCCUGAAAACAAUGAUAACUGGGACAGCUGUGUAUCUGUGUGAGAAGUGAAAUACAAUGACAACUGUGACAGCUGUGUAUCUGUGUGAGAAGUGAAAUGCAAUGAUAACUGUGACAGCUGUGUAUCUGUGUGAGAAGUGAAAUACAAUGAUAACUGUGACAGCUGUGUAUCUGUGUGAGAAGUGAAAAACAAUGAUAACUGUGACAGCUGUGUAUCUGUGUGAUAAGUGACAAACAAUGAUAACUGUGACAGCUGUGUGAGAAGUGGCAAACAAUGUGAAACAUAGGCAUACUGUACAGCAUAACAGCUAAUGUUCAAAACACUGAGUGGGCGGAAAGUACUCUGUCUCUGUCUUAUUAUAGUUCUGUCUACCUGACAAUCUCACCAGCAGUGGUGUAAAGUACUUAAGUAAAAAUACUUUAAAGUACUACUUAAGUAAUUUUUGGGGGUAUCUGUACUUUACUAUUUGUAUUUUUGGCAACUUUUACUUUUACUUCACUACAUUCCUAAAGAAAAUAAUGUACUUUCUACUCCAUACAUUUUCCCUGACACCCUAAAGUACUCGUUACAUUUUGACAGGAAAAUUGUCCAAUUCCAACAUCCCUGGUCAUCCCUACUGCCUCUGAUCUGGCGGACUCACUAAACACAAAUGCUUCGUUUGUAAAUGAUGUUGGAGUGUGCCCC
This 1454-nucleotide long non-coding RNA is filed under the name Salmo salar (Atlantic salmon). RNAcentral's name for it is "lncRNA (ENSSSAG00000112431.1)". The record is from RNAcentral. Lineage: Eukaryota; Metazoa; Chordata; Actinopteri; Salmoniformes; Salmonidae.